RNAcentral lists this ribosomal RNA (253 nucleotides) under uncultured bacterium. Its description in RNAcentral is "partial 16S ribosomal RNA". It matches the Rfam family "Bacterial small subunit ribosomal RNA", at positions 524 to 776 of the family's 1533-position model. The record is from RNAcentral.
UACAGAGGGGGCAAGCGUUGUCCGGACUUACUGGGUGUAAAGCGCAUGCAGGUGGCCUGGCAAGUGUGCUGUGAAAGCCCCCGGCUCAACUGGGGAGGGUCACGCGAUACUGUUCGACUUGAAGGCAGGAGAGGGAAGUGGAAUUCCCGGUGUAGUGGUGAAAUGCGUAGAUAUCGGGAGGAACACCAGUGGCGAAGGCGACUUCCUGGCCUGUUCUUGACGCUGAGGCGCGAAAGCUAGGGUAGCAAACGGG